RNAcentral lists this ribosomal RNA (253 nucleotides) under uncultured bacterium. RNAcentral describes it as "partial 16S ribosomal RNA". It matches the Rfam family "Bacterial small subunit ribosomal RNA", at positions 524 to 776 of the family's 1533-position model. RNAcentral also lists the same sequence under 1 other name. The record is from RNAcentral.
GACGAACCACCCAAACGUUAUUCGGAAUUACUGGGCUUAAAGCGUGCGUAGGCGGCCUUGAAAGUUAGGUGUGAAAUCCCACAGCUCAACUGUGGAACUGCGCUUAAAACUACAAGGCUAGAGGAAUAUAGAGGUGAGCAGAACAGAUGGUGGAGCGGUGAAAUGCGUUGAUAUCAUCUGGAAUACCGGAGGCGAAGGCGGCUCACUGGGUAUUUUCUGACGCUGAGGUACGAAAGCUAGGGGAGCGAACGGG